UAGGUUAGAAGUUGAGAAGUAUUAAGUUACGCUGUCCCAACGCGCCAAGCCCUAAAUGGGAAGGUGACAAGAAGAUGUGGGGGUUGGCAGUCCUACCUAACCUA
Molecule: non-coding RNA, 104 nt
Submitted as: unclassified sequences
Source: Rfam